Dendronephthya gigantea is the source of this 1045-nucleotide long non-coding RNA. RefSeq lists it as uncharacterized. NCBI's taxonomy places the organism in Eukaryota, Metazoa, Cnidaria, Anthozoa, Malacalcyonacea, Nephtheidae. The record is from RefSeq and is a predicted model, not a curated record. The transcript has 6 exons.
ACCAAAAAACUUUUUAAUAACGUAUUUCGAUGUUUAUCUUUUUUAUCAUUCCUAGCGAUUUAAAAUAUAGGGGAAAAAACAAUUUGUUCGGCUUUUAGUAUCUUCAACCACUAUGGAAUUAUAUACAACAUUAACCAUGGUCGGAUGGUCACCCAAUGAAACACCAUGACACAGAAUACCUAUCAGAAGUAGAACUCCUGUACUUUUUUCGUUGCAAACACUACCAAACAGUGAAAUAAAGAUAUGAAACAUUAUCCCACUCAAAAAUAGGUUAUAGUCCAGAUGAAGAAUCGAAUUCAUUGGUCCAUAAUAAAUACAGAUUGAGUGAUUGACAGUCAGUUUUCAAGACCAUGUGGACGAUGCGGUGGGAAGGAAAUUCGCUCUUCGUUGCAAGAAAAGAAAACCAGGCCGAAAUCCGUCGACGAAAGCUGGAUUCAAUGUUCCUGAGUUGUACAUUGUGAUGAUGGAGAAAUGUUACCAUUUUGCAUGCAAAUACAAAAUCUAAAAUUAAAUUCCAACCAGACAUUUUAUGAAAUCAAAAUCAAACCAAACAUUUUAUGAUAUUUCCAGACAUUUGAGGCUCCUCUGUUUUUAAUUUUCAAUUUUUGGAUUGCAUGCAGUUCAGAUCCCAACCCUUGGUUAUAUCUUGCAUGUUUUGUCAGGAGUAAUGAGUAAGUAUAAUUGAUCAGGGGCCCGGGUCACUUAUACUUUCUGUAUGCUCGACUGACCUAGUCCGGCAUAGGCAAAAUUAUUGCUCUUGGAGCACACAAAAAAAGAGAUGCAUGUUGAGAUUAAAAAGGGGGUAUAAUGGUCGAGUGUUAAAUGUCUAUUCCAUUUUUGAAUGAAUGCAUGCGUUAAAUCUUGCUAAAUUUGCAUGUAAUUUCGAAAAUGCAUGAAAAUUUUGUAUUCGCAUGUACAAUGAGCGUUGUGGUGAAGAUGAUGUUGGUGGAGCUCAUGCAGAUGAUGAUGGACAACCGACGAUGACAGAUGAUGAUGGACCAGCCGAUGAUGACAGAUGAUGAUGGACCACCCAAUGGCAGAUGAU